GAUGAACGCUGGCGGUAUGCUUAACACAUGCAAGUCGAACGGUACCUUCGGGUAUAGUGGCGGACGGGUGAGUAACGCGUGAGAAUCUAUCUUCAGGUCGGGGACAACAGUUAGAAAUGACUGCUAAUACCGGAUGUGCCGAAAGGUAAAAGAUUUAUUGCCUGAAAAAGAGCUCGCGUCAGAUUAGCUAGUAGGUGGUGUAAGAGACUACCUAGGCUUCGAUCUGUAGCUGGUCUGAGAGGACGAUCAGCCACACUGGAACUGAGACACGGUCCAGACUCCUACGGGAGGCAGCGGUGGGGAAUUUUCCGCAAUGGGCGAAAGCCUGACGGAGCAAUACCGCGUGAGGGACGAAGGCUCUUGGGUCGUAAACCUCUUUUCUCAAGGAAGAUUCAGACGGUACUUGAGGAAUAAGCAUCGGCUAACUCUGUG
This 432-nucleotide ribosomal RNA is filed under the name uncultured bacterium. RNAcentral describes it as "partial 16S ribosomal RNA". It matches the Rfam family "Bacterial small subunit ribosomal RNA", at positions 28 to 507 of the family's 1533-position model. The record is from RNAcentral.